RNAcentral lists this transfer RNA (68 nucleotides) under Promethearchaeota archaeon. Its description in RNAcentral is "Candidatus Lokiarchaeota archaeon tRNA-Val". The stretch from base 6 to 62 matches the Rfam family "tRNA", at positions 6 to 65 of the family's 71-position model. Rfam says of the family: Transfer RNA (tRNA) molecules are approximately 80 nucleotides in length. Their secondary structure includes four short double-helical elements and three loops (D, anti-codon, and T loops). The record is from RNAcentral. Lineage: Archaea; Promethearchaeati; Promethearchaeota.
UCGUAGAUAAUGGUUAUGAUGUCGCCCUUACGAGGCGAAGGUCGUGAGUUCGAACCUCACUCGGCCCA